GUUGCGUGUUUGUUUUCUGAGAAAAACAAGUGUAAAUAUGUAUCAUAUUAAAAUGAUAUUCUAUCCCUCUUCUGUCAGUAUUUGCGCUCAUUUUAACAGAAUUCAUCUUCAUUUAUCAUUUUAGAAAAAGAAUGAAAAUAAAAACAAAUGCUGGAAUUAAUUCUAUUACAUAUUAAAUAUUAGAAAUAUGUAAAAUGGCGGACACUCCACAUGAACGCGCAAACGAAGAGGAAGUGGGUAGGGAGGGGGUGUAGGGGGUACUUUGGAAAAGACCCCUGGCUGCUAUUUAAAAGACUUGGGAUGUUCCCAAUAAUUUACAGAAAGACUGCAUAAAGGGCUUAAAGUGUCUACCGGAGAGUCCGCAUGCACUCAACGAUUUAACAGCCUGAACCCCUUCCGGAUUUAUCGGGAACGCGCCUCAAAAUCCAUGAAUCCAUUGGGAUUGGGUUUGGUCGUUUCCCCGUUCAAGUUAAGUUUCACUUUCUGUGACAGUUGUGGCGCAGAUAAAUUUCUACAUCCAGACAUCCAUCUGAAGGUGGAGCUCUGACUCGUUCCAGGAAACAGCUCACCUGUGGCAAACACUUUUCUGACGGACGUGGAGUGGAGAGUCUUUGUCUUCAGCAGUUUGGAUGUUAACUGUGAAGGUAGAAAGUGUGUGUGACUGAUGUGGAUGUGACUUCAGCAGCAUGGAUCAGUGUGAGGACAGAGAGGAGGGAGUCCCUCCCUCUAAACGCUCUCGGUGUGGGGAACAUGACAGCUAGACCAAAGCUCAGAGAACAAGGAGGCAGCACAGACCAGACUCUGCUGGACCUGAACCUGAACCUGAACCUGAACCUGGACCUGGACCUGGACCUGAACCUGAACC
Thunnus maccoyii (southern bluefin tuna) is the source of this 865-nucleotide long non-coding RNA. RefSeq lists it as uncharacterized. The transcript has 4 exons. Lineage: Eukaryota; Metazoa; Chordata; Actinopteri; Scombriformes; Scombridae. The record is from RefSeq and is a predicted model, not a curated record.